This 2822-nucleotide long non-coding RNA is filed under the name Gallus gallus (chicken). Lineage: Eukaryota; Metazoa; Chordata; Aves; Galliformes; Phasianidae. The record is from RNAcentral.
CUGAGCUUUUCAGCUGUUGGUGAGCAGCAGGCAGCUGAUGAUUCCAGAUCAUGAAAACAGCUUACAGCCAAAGCUGUCAUCAGCAAGGAGCUGCAUUCCCUGCGCAGACCUGUGGCCGCCCGCCCGGCUGCCGCCCGAGACGUGGCGCUGCCUUCGCCGGGAAGGGGCGGGCGGGGCGCGGCGGUGCACCGCGCUUCUCCCUCCCCGCCGGCCGCCGCCUCCGCAGGGCCGCAAAAGGCCCGCACCGCGACCGCGCUCCCCCCCUCCGCCCCGCCGGGCCCGGCGUUGCUCGGCGGGAGCUCGGCGGGAGCUCGGCGGCCCGGGGGAGCCGGCAGAGCGGCCGCUGCCGCCGGGCCCGGUGGAGAGGCGGCGGCUUUUCCGGACGGACCCUUCCGGCAGCGCGGGGAAGGGGAGCGGCCUCCUCGGCCGGACCGCCUUCCGGGGUGCGUUCCUGCCGGCCGGGCGGGGCUGUGCGCGGCUUCAUCUGCGCGAGCUGCCGGGCGGCGUUGGGCCGCGGCGCUGCAGGGGGGGGGGCGGCACCGCGCUGCUGUGCAGGGUCGGUUUUGGUUUCGUUUCUCUCAUUUGAUUGCUUUCUGCAACUUCUCUGCUCUGCAUUUGUUCACGCGCACAGAAUUUCGUGAAAGCACGUCCCCCCGCACACACCGUGCUGUGCGUUGUCAGUGGCAGGUGGGUAUGCAUGCACACCCUUCGUUCACCUCCCUAAGAGACUGCUUGUUCCAUGCAUCUGGAGGGAAGAGGUGACUGACUAACAGCUGCUUCCUACUGUGAUGUUAAGAGAAGGCUGAUGGAUAAGUAUAAGUCAGGAGGACAGUAAAACCCAAACCAUCAGAGAAUCUGAAUUGUUUGAAGGGCUCACAAAGCUGCUAACCAGGCUCCUGGCACAGUGCUAAGGGCACUAGCAGGGCACAGGUGUUGCGGUAGUUGCUUAAAGCGCCAGGAGAAUCACCAGGCACUAACUCAUGAGACCUUGGAGCUGUGUAGGAGACGAAUUUGUGUGUCCUGCAGCCUCUGUCUUCAGCAGAGAAAGAGCCAGUGGCGUCUCCCAAAGUUUACUGCAAUUUCUCUCCCUGAGGACUCCUCUCCCCUUCAGAUACAGAAUGUGCACGCAGCCAUUCAAUCACAGCCGGUGCGGCUCCCCUCCACCCUGCAGCUGGCAGAGCCGUCCUGCCGCUUCUCUGCAAGUGAGCUCCCUCAGACCUUAAUAGGAAUUGUCUUUUUCGGGAACCCACAAGGCUUCGGCCCUAAAAGGGGAAGGCUGUUUUAUUUAUAUUGGCUCUGACAAAAAACGACUGACAGCUAUUAGGGUAAGACAGACCAUGCGCAGAGAUACCUGUCCAUCAGGGUAUUUGGGUAGCCCACUGCAAUAAAUUCAGCUGAAAACAUCUUCCCUCUCAUUAUUCCCCUUCUUAAGGGACCAAUGGAGCAAAGACCAGCAGUUCUGUUAAACUGUCUGUCCGCACAGAGCUGCAGAAUUCAGCCUGUUCCUGGCGUCAUGAAGAACGUCAAUGUUCCAAGGAAAGGCUGCUGCUUCUGCGGGUACAAAUUGUGAGCAGAUGUGUCAGAAGUAACGAGGGAUAGAGGUAGGAGAGAAGGGCUCCGUGCUCUGCAGGAGCAGUGGGUGGCGCACUCUGCACAGCACAAAGCACAAAGCCGCUGUGGAGCUUUCCAGUUACAGCUAUUAAAGCUACAAACGUGUUGUUCUAAAUAUUUCCUUAGCAGAGCUCUCACUCCCUAACCACUGACAAGAACGCGUUCCAAUUCCCUCUGCUUAUUGCAUGCUUUUCUGCUUACAUAUUCCUAUUAUUUGGUGUCACUCAGUCUGCAAAAACUUCAUUAAAAAAGAAACCUCUGCUAACCACGCAGAAAGAGCUCUAUUACUGGCCGGCUGCAGCCAGGCUCCGGCAUCCAGGAAAAACUGGCUUUGUGUUAAACACAGAACGUGGGACAAGCAGCCAGCAAUUCCGCAAUGAGCUAUAGGAAAGGCUGCCUUAAUAUUUUAUUUUUGUAUUUUAUUUACUGAUCUAUUAUUUAUAUGCGUGUAACAUUUAUACCCCACUCUGCCUAAACAAUUUUAGCGUGUCUAUUUUAACAGCAAUAAGGAUUUGAGGUGUUACUUUCCUGACUCAUUCCUAUGAACAGAGGGGAGACUCUGAUGUAACUGUGGCGUGUCUGAUCUAACAGCUUCACUCAGAAUUUAACCAACCUCUAUCCUACACAAAGGAAGACUGUGAAAAUAUAAAAAGCAGUGUUGUGUAACCGGAAGGUUUGCAGAUGAGAACUCUUGCAAUCAGAAUAAACUAAGAUUUAAGGCCUUGUUACUGAAAGUCUCUCGCCAACGCCCUCCUCCUGUUUAAAGCUGCAUUUCCUUUGGUCUCAGCAGCUGUUCUGAAAAACAAACUUCUAAGAGCUCAUUAAUUUCCAGGGGAUAUUCCAUUAUUGUGUCCCUGGGUCACAAGGGUUAGUUCUGGUGUCAGAACACCUGAUGUAUUUAAGGAAACUAAUUCAGAAAGUUCUCUUUCCAUGUAUCAAUUCAUGUGUUGCGCAUGUGUGGAGGGAGGAGAAGGAAAUUACUGUUUUUAAGUGGUUUUAAGCUUAGGUUUUCCACAAUAAAUGAUUUUUCUGUCAGCCUGAAAGAAAUAAGUUUCUGUUUUUCUUUCCUGGAAAUUACUUUCCCAGGCUGGGGCUCCUGGUUAAGAAAAUGUUGAAAUUGCACCCACUAACUCAUAAGUUACUACUGCACUGCAGUGCUUCCCUCAGGGACUCCAGAGCCCCCAGACAGUGCUGUGCAGCAGGCAACACGG